RNAcentral lists this unclassified non-coding RNA (263 nucleotides) under plant metagenome. Its description in RNAcentral is "partial contains small subunit ribosomal RNA, internal transcribed spacer 1, and 5.8S ribosomal RNA". The record is from RNAcentral.
UUUCCGUAGGUGAACCUGCGGAAGGAUCAUUAUUGUAUAACCGAGGUGCGAGGGCUGUCGCUGACCCGACAGGUCGUGCACGCCCGAGUGCCCUCACACACAUCCAUCUCACCCCUAUGUGCACCACCGCGUGGGUCCCCCUUUGGCUUGUUCGGAGGGGGGCUUACGUUUUCACACAAUCUUUGUAUGCAGUGUAGAAUGUAUUUUUUGUUUUUGCGAUCACGCAAUCAAUACAACUUUCAACAACGGAUCUCUUGGCUCUC